This 253-nucleotide ribosomal RNA is filed under the name uncultured bacterium. Its description in RNAcentral is "partial 16S ribosomal RNA". It matches the Rfam family "Bacterial small subunit ribosomal RNA", at positions 524 to 776 of the family's 1533-position model. The record is from RNAcentral.
UACGUAGGUGGCAAGCGUUGUCCGGAAUUACUGGGCGUAAAGGGCGUGUAGGCGGCCUUUUAAGUCAGGCGUGAAAACUGUGGGCUUAACCCACAGACUGCGUUUGAGACUGAGAGGCUUGAGGAUCGGAGAGGGCAGUGGAAUUCCCAGUGUAGCGGUGAAAUGCGUAGAUAUUGGGAAGAACACCAGUGGCGAAGGCGGCUGCCUGGACGACACCUGACGCUGAGGCGCGAAAGCCAGGGGAGCAAACGGG